GAAAUUAUUUUCGAUUAUUUUUGUAUUCAUAUUUAUUUAUAAACAAUAGGUUAUGUUCGUAUAUCUUGAGUAUUACUUCUUCAAUUUUCUACUAACUUGGAUCGAACACCUUAUAUACGUGCUGUUCACGUAUCUGUCUUUAUAUGUGCAUCGUGGAAAUCUACUAUUGGCAAACAGGCGUAUCGAUAAAA
Molecule: long non-coding RNA, 191 nt
Organism: Apis dorsata (giant honeybee)
Lineage: Eukaryota; Metazoa; Arthropoda; Insecta; Hymenoptera; Apidae
Exons: 2
Source: RefSeq, a predicted model, not a curated record